This 328-nucleotide ribosomal RNA is filed under the name uncultured eukaryote. RNAcentral describes it as "partial 18S ribosomal RNA". It matches the Rfam family "Eukaryotic small subunit ribosomal RNA", at positions 1470 to 1796 of the family's 1831-position model. The record is from RNAcentral.
CCCUUAGAUGUCCUGGGCCGCACGCGCGCUACACUGAUGCAUGCAACGAGUUUAUAACCUUGGCCUGAAAGGUCUGGGUAAUCUUUUGAACGUGCAUCGUGAUCGGGAUAGAUUAUUGCAAUUGUUAAUCUUGAACGAGGAAUUCCUAGUAAACGCGAGUCAUCAGCUCGCAUUGAUUACGUCCCUGCCCUUUGUACACACCGCCCGUCGCACCUACCGAUUGAAUGGUUCGGUGAAGAUCUCGGACUUCGAUAUUUAUUCUUUAUUGAGUUUAUAUUGUGGGAAGUUAUCUAAACCUCAUCAUUUAGAGGAAGGUGAAGUCGUAACA